RNAcentral lists this unclassified non-coding RNA (337 nucleotides) under soil metagenome. RNAcentral's name for it is "partial contains 5.8S ribosomal RNA, internal transcribed spacer 2, and large subunit ribosomal RNA". The stretch from base 1 to 120 matches the Rfam family "5.8S ribosomal RNA", at positions 35 to 154 of the family's 154-position model. The record is from RNAcentral.
GAUGAAGAACGCAGCGAAAUGCGAUAAGUAAUGUGAAUUGCAGAAUUCAGUGAAUCAUCGAAUCUUUGAACGCACAUUGCGCCCGCCAGUAUUCUGGCGGGCAUGCCUGUUCGAGCGUCAUUUCAACCAUCAAGCCCCCGGCUUGUGUUGGGGACCUGCGGCUGCCCGCAGGCCCUGAAAACCAGUGGCGGGCUCGCUGUCACUCCGAGCGUAGUAGCAUAUAUCUCGCUCAGGGCGUGCUGCGGGUUCCGGCCGUUAAAAGCCUUUUUUUACCCAAGGUUGACCUCGGAUCAGGUAGGAAGACCCGCUGAACUUAAGCAUAUCAAUAAGCAGAGGA